GACGGAAGGUGCAAGCGUUGCUCGGAAUCACUGGGCGUAAAGGGUGCGUAGGCGGCUUCUUAAGUCUGGUGUGAAAGCCCAGGGCUCAGCUCUGGAAGUGCACUAGAAACUGGGGAGCUUGAGUACCGGAGGGGAGAGUGGAAUUCCUGGUGUAGCGGUGAAAUGCGUAGAUAUCUGGAGGAACACCGGUGGCGAAGGCGGCAUCCUGGACCACGACUGACGCUGAGGAGCGAAAGCCAGGGGAGCAAACGGG
RNAcentral lists this ribosomal RNA (253 nucleotides) under uncultured bacterium. RNAcentral describes it as "partial 16S ribosomal RNA". It matches the Rfam family "Bacterial small subunit ribosomal RNA", at positions 524 to 776 of the family's 1533-position model. The record is from RNAcentral.